This 339-nucleotide unclassified non-coding RNA is filed under the name Hevea brasiliensis (rubber tree). The record is from RNAcentral. Lineage: Eukaryota; Viridiplantae; Streptophyta; Magnoliopsida; Malpighiales; Euphorbiaceae.
CGUGGGGAUGGCAUCUCUGUGGGCUCUCUCUCUUGCUACUGGUUAGCCUCUCGUCCUUGAUAGCUGAUGCUGAAGAGCUCUACCAUACCGCUCAUAGCGUGACUGAGAUUAGUCCUAGUUGAGGUACAAGAGAUGGCUGAUGCCAUCGUCGAUGUCGGAGAUAUAGUCUGUAGCCUCGCCCGAGCGUCGGUUUGCCUUUUAUCUGUCGGUGCAAGGAUUUCUCUAGGUUGGGUUCUAUGGAUCCCAUCAUUAAAUUGUCUGCUAUACUUGCAAAGAAGGUAAUUUCUAUCUACUAUGCUUGUGAAGAUGGUAACGUCUAGGGCUCCAAAACUUUGCAAA